RNAcentral lists this long non-coding RNA (2192 nucleotides) under Medicago truncatula (barrel medic). Its description in RNAcentral is "long non-coding RNA (MTRU_LNC006526)". Lineage: Eukaryota; Viridiplantae; Streptophyta; Magnoliopsida; Fabales; Fabaceae. The record is from RNAcentral.
AGAAUCUACCUGUGAAACUUUACCUGUUAGUAUAUACAUGUUGAAAGAAUCAAAGUACCAGAAAGGCAUCACUAAUAAUAUGCACCAAAAUAAAUUAUUUUAUCAAGUUGAAAUUUUUAGGCUUAAUACAUCUGUUGGUCCUUUAACUUAUUUUAUUUUCUCAGUUUGAUCCCUUAACUGUAAAAUGUCUCAAAUUGGUCCUUUAUCUGUGUUUUGUUAGUAAAUUUGGUCCUAUUUUGUUAAUUUUAACUCAUUUAAAAAGGAGACCGUUGGAUAAACGAGGUCUAUCAGAUCUAACCGUGUAUCAACAUGUAUAAAAGUAAAAUAAAUUAGGUGUAUGACGAUGAAGAUGAAUAAAAGUAAAAUAAAUUAGGUGUUGGUGAUACACUGUUAGAUCAGAUAGACCUCAUUUAUCCAACGAUCUCCUUUUUAAAUGAGUUAAAAUUAACAAAAUAGGACCAAAUUUACUAACAAAACACAGAUAAAGGACCAAUUUGAGACAUUUUAUAGUUAAGGGAUCAAACUGAGAAAAUAAAAUAAGUUAAAGGACCAACGGAUGUAUUAAGCCAAAUUUUUAUUAUAAUUAGACAGUUCAUAUUUAGUGUUAACAUCAUUAUAUAUGAACAAAACCAUUUUACUUUAAUUGCUGCAAGUGGGGAACGGCAGCAAUAACAAAACCACCAAGUUAUUCCCAUCACAAACAUCAUGAGAUCAAUAGGCCAACAAGGCAAUAUUACUUUCAUGCUUCAUUAUGCGCUGAAAUUUAAUUAAUAAAACAACAGGAGCUGCUGAUACACACAUGCACCGGAAUUUUCCUUCACAAACUCGGAUUUGUGAAGAAGCACAACAGCUUGAGCUAAUAUGAAGGUUUGAGACGCGUUUUAACAGAAAGAGGGAGACAAAGUUAAAAUUAUUACGUUCAAAGUAGGUGAUAAAAUGUAGGACAAUGCUUAAGAGAUACAAACUGAUAAUUGCAUACGAGCAGAGAGAACCCAAUCACCAUCAACGUGAUUUGACAUUUCAGAGUGAAAAAUAAUAAGUAUCCCAUAGAAUGCUGUAAUGGAUGUUUAGGCUGAGGGGUAUGUAGUCAAUUCAAAAAUUCUGGAGGAUAUCAGAAAAAAAGGCAAGUAGGUAAGAAAAUGACACAGCUUACCAACACAUACUACGCAUCAAUAAGAACUCUAAAUAAGACGAGCGAUGAGAUUCAUAAAGAUCAGUGUCGUGAUGAUGUUUCCUAAAAUGCUAGAACCACAAUACCCAGUUCCACACCUUUAGAAUAGAGUUUGGAGGAUAUCGCUUUGGUGAAGGCAAGACAGCAUACAAUGUGUAAGGUGGAUGAUUCCAUCCUACUUGGAUCCUCUAAAACCGGCUUUAUCGUGCAGCCCACUGUAGAUCGUUAGAUUUAAGAGAGUCUCUCUUAAUCUACAAUGGUCUACAGGCGGCUGUGUCGUAAAGCUAGAAGUAGAGGAUCCAGCUUCCAUGUUCUUCUGCCUCACUGGUGUUUUCAUGAACUUAGGUCAAAAAGUCAUACUACUGGGUCUUCCUAAAUCCUAAUGAAGUAUUGAGACAUAACAAAGUAAAUGACGACACGGGCAGUUCUCUGUAUAUUACAUUCAGCCCAAGCUACAUGUUCUGCAAUGUUUCCUUUUUGGCAUAUUGACAUUCCAGCCUUGAGGGACCUCCCAUUGGUAUAAAAAUUCAAACAAUGUGAGCCUUCGACAAUUCCUGACAUUCUUCACAUUGUAAAUGAAGACACGGGCAGUUCUUAAUGCUAAUGACAAACAAUAUAUGCAAGACGAGAUCGUUUCAUUACAAACAAUUUAAUUUAACUAGAUAUAAACAUGGUCUAAAACACUCAAACCAAGCAUAAGUGAAUCAAUAAGGACAAAAAGUAUAAAAGAAUAAAGCAUCAAUUUACUUCGUAAAGUAUCACUCUCUCGUCAAACAAUGUCAGCCUUCGACAAUUCCUGUCAUUCGCAUUGUAAAUGAAGACACGGGCAGGUAUUCAUGCUAAUGAUGAACAAUCUAUGCAAGACAAGAUUGUUUCAAUACAAACAAUCUAAUUUGACUAGAUAGAAACAUUAUAUAAAACACCCAAACCUAGCACAGGUGAAUCAAUGACAAAAGGUAUGAAAGAAUAAACCAUCAAUUUAGUCCCUAAAAUAUCACUGUCUCCAAUUUAGUCCUUAAAG